RNAcentral lists this ribosomal RNA (381 nucleotides) under uncultured eukaryote. RNAcentral's name for it is "partial 18S ribosomal RNA". It matches the Rfam family "Eukaryotic small subunit ribosomal RNA", at positions 592 to 976 of the family's 1831-position model. The record is from RNAcentral.
UGUAAGCGUAUACCAAAGUUGUUGCAGUUAAAACGCUCGUAGUCGGAAUUUGGCAGUUCCGGAUGUGUGCACGUCGUGUGCGCACUUCGCGGGGAUUGCUUUUGUGGUCUUGCGUAGGAUGAGGCACUUUUAUUAGUGAACGUCCUCACGCAACCACUUUUUACUGUGAGAAAAUCAGAGUGCUCAAAGCAGGCAUUUGCCGUGAAUGUAUAGCAUGGAAUAAUAGAAUAGGACUUGGUUCUAUUUUGUUGGUUUGUUGGGACUGAGUAAUGAUUAAGAGGGACAGUUGGGGGCAUUUGUAUUUCGGUGCUAGAGGUGAAAUUCUUAGAUUACCGAAAGACAAACUGCUGCGAAAGCGUCUGCCAAGGAUGUUUUCAUUGA